This 497-nucleotide ribosomal RNA is filed under the name uncultured bacterium. RNAcentral's name for it is "partial 16S ribosomal RNA". It matches the Rfam family "Bacterial small subunit ribosomal RNA", at positions 28 to 507 of the family's 1533-position model. The record is from RNAcentral.
GAUGAACGCUGGCGGCGUGCCUAAUACAUGCAAGUCGAGCGAACAGACGAGGAGCUUGCUCCUCUGACGUUAGCGGCGGACGGGUGAGUAACACGUGGAUAACCUACCUAUAAGACUGGGAUAACUUCGGGAAACCGGAGCUAAUACCGGAUAAUAUAUUGAACCGCAUGGUUCAAUAGUGAAAGACGGUUUUGCUGUCACUUAUAGAUGGAUCCGCGCCGCAUUAGCUAGUUGGUAAGGUAACGGCUUACCAAGGCAACGAUGCGUAGCCGACCUGAGAGGGGGAUCGGCCACACUGGAACUGAGACACGGUCCAGACUCCUACGGGAGGCAGCAGUAGGGAAUCUUCCGCAAUGGGCGAAAGCCUGACGGAGCAACGCCGCGUGAGUUAUGAAGGUCUUCGGAUCGUAAAACUCUGUUAUUAGGGAAGAACAAAUGUGUAAGUAACUAUGCACGUCUUGACGGUACCUAAUCAGAAAGCCACGGCUAACUACGUG